GAAGACCUUUAAAUGCUAUUCAGAGAGGUUCAGUGGAUUUUGGAGGUAACACAGGAGCUCAAUGAACAACUGGAUGAUGUGGUCAGACCUACACUUUAGAAAAAAAAGUCACCUUGGCAGCUAAUAACUAUCUAAUGUGUCAUAUUAACCUAGAUCUUUCUGACUCCCUUUCUUAUUCUCUAUCCAGUGUAUCAUGUGUCUCAGUUGAUGGCUGGGACAUUCAGAAACCUAACCAGAAUUACAAAGGGCCAAAGAAGAGAAUAACCACGGAUGGUAAUGGAGCUGUCACAGAGGAGAGAGAAGUGGAAAUUCAUGGUUCUCUUGUGAGGCAAAGACAUCUGUGUUAUUGCACCCUAAGCCAAUAGUUUUUAAAACAAAGUCAUAAAACAAGCUACUGUAUAUAACAGGGAUGGAAAAUAUGUGGAGCUUUCCUCCACCCUGUACAGGUUUCUGAAAAGAAAGAAAAAUAGACCAAUGACUGGGAAUGAAAGAAGUAUGAGCUGCCAGCAGGAGGGUACAUAGCUCCCAUCUUCCAAAGGAACAGGGAUAGAUUAUGCUAAAGGAAAUGGAAUAACCAAACCCAUGUCAGAAGCAACGUCAAUGACCAGGCAACAGGAAAGGCACAGCAUGUCUCUGUAACCUCUGGUGAUUCAAACUAGGACAGGAGUGAUGAUCAAUGGUUCCACUCCUCUGCGCUUCUAUUGUCCUGACUCCAAACUUCAGAUUCCUGUCUAGGGGCCUCUGGACCAGAAUUCUGUAUCACUGUGGGAUAUUCAAUGAAUGUUUGUUGAUUA
Molecule: long non-coding RNA, 794 nt
Organism: Monodelphis domestica (gray short-tailed opossum)
Lineage: Eukaryota; Metazoa; Chordata; Mammalia; Didelphimorphia; Didelphidae
Source: RefSeq, a predicted model, not a curated record